GAUAAACGCUGGCGGCGUGCAUGGGACAUGCAAGUCGAACGAAGGAUCGGGCUUGCUCGAUCCUUAGUGGCGGACGGCUGAGUAACGCGUAGGUGACCUACCCCGAAGUGGGGAAUAACUGCCCGAAAGGGUGGCUAAUACCGCAUGUGGUCGCACGUUCAUUCGUGCGAGUAAAGCCGCAAGGCGCUUCGGGAGGGGCCUGCGUCCGAUUAGCUCGUUGGUGGGGUAAUGGCUUACCAAGGCGACGAUCGGUAGGUGGUCUGAGAGGACGAUCACCCAGACUGGGACUGAGACACGGCCCAGACUCCUACGGGAGGCAGCAGUCGGGAAUUUUGCUCAAUGGGGGAAACCCUGAAGCAGCAACGCCGCGUGAGGGAUGAAGGCCUUCGGGUUGUAAACCUCUUUUGUCAGGGACGAUGAUGACGGUACCUGGCGAAUAAGCCACGGCUAACUACGUG
RNAcentral lists this ribosomal RNA (458 nucleotides) under uncultured bacterium. RNAcentral describes it as "partial 16S ribosomal RNA". It matches the Rfam family "Bacterial small subunit ribosomal RNA", at positions 28 to 507 of the family's 1533-position model. The record is from RNAcentral.